Molecule: long non-coding RNA, 613 nt
Organism: Leopardus geoffroyi (Geoffroy's cat)
Lineage: Eukaryota; Metazoa; Chordata; Mammalia; Carnivora; Felidae
Exons: 2
Source: RefSeq, a predicted model, not a curated record
AGAGCUGUAAGACAUAAGGCAUACAAGAACAGACAUGCUGAACAUCCGGAUUUGCGUGGUCAAGCCCCAAACUUUCAUUCCAAGGAAAUGAAAAACUGUUCUAUGAGAUCAGACAAAGGACAGGACUCAAGUUUGGAAUGAAUUUCUGAGAAGAUUUGAGAUCGAGGUACAUGCAGUCAUGUACCUUGGAUACAUGGAUAGAAUGCCCAUGGAUAUGUUUUCUAGUUCCCAUAAAACAAAGAUGAAGGGAUAUCAGCUGAAGUUGAGAUUAACUGUAGAGAAAUCUAAAAGAACUACCACUUUUCACAACAGGCGAUGGAAAGAAGAGAGCAGCAGAGCCCUUAUCCAUCAGUGAAGUCUACUCCAUCACUGGAAUUUCCUGCGCGCUUCUCUCCAUCCCUUAUCCUGCCUGUUGUAUUGUAACCCUCACCCCAAGCCCGGAAGCAUCCUAAAAGCGUUUGGAUGGCUAAUUCACCAAAGGAAGAAAUUGUUGCCUGGCUGAGCUAGUUACUGUUUUAUCUAUCCACCACUAAAUGAUAGCAUGAACCGAAACUGUAGUUUCCAUACUAGAUUCUUCUGAGUUCAUGUAAAUAAAACAAUAGACAAAGAUAAA